This 252-nucleotide ribosomal RNA is filed under the name uncultured bacterium. RNAcentral's name for it is "partial 16S ribosomal RNA". It matches the Rfam family "Bacterial small subunit ribosomal RNA", at positions 524 to 776 of the family's 1533-position model. The record is from RNAcentral.
UACGAGGGGUGCAAGCGUUAUUCGGAUUCAUUGGGCGUAAAGGGUGCGUAGGUGGUUUCUUAAGUCAGAGGUGAAAGGCUACGGCUCAACCGUAGUAAGCCUUUGAAACUGGGGAACUUGAGUGCAGGAGAGGAGAGUGGAAUUCCUAGUGUAGCGGUGAAAUGCGUAGAUAUUAGGAGGAACACCAGUUGCGAAGGCGGCUCUCUAGUACGUGACUGACGCUGAGACGCGAAAGCGUGGGGAGCGAACAGG